Rosa rugosa (rugosa rose) is the source of this 1611-nucleotide long non-coding RNA. RefSeq lists it as uncharacterized. The record is from RefSeq and is a predicted model, not a curated record. The transcript has 5 exons. NCBI's taxonomy places the organism in Eukaryota, Viridiplantae, Streptophyta, Magnoliopsida, Rosales, Rosaceae.
UUAUAAUUAUAAUAUAAGUGGGCUCCAGGUUCCUAUUUUGGGCUGAGUUCUUGAGAACUCUUAUGGUGUGGUGUCGAGACAGCAAACCUCUCCUCUUUACUAUAUAUUCACUUGCUUCGACUAAAAACCCUAGCCUGCUCUCUGCCUCUCUCUCCGGUCUCUCUCUCUCUCUCGUUAUCAUGCAAUUUUGUGAGUGAAAAACUAGAAUCGCUCGAUUUUCUGGAUAAGAGUUUCAAAAGCCAUGUUAUUGUUGGGCCUAAAGCAACCUCGAGGCUUUGGUGAUUCGAGGUUGGGUUAGGUGGACCGGCGGAUUUGUAGUUACGUUCUCCAACAACGACGAUGAUUUGGAUCUACAAGGUCUCAAAGGCGUUCGAUGGGGAAGGGCAGUGGGGGGCCUGAGCCUGGAGGUUGGGUUGCUCGCGGUAACUCACCCUUCUUCAUACUCUGCAGAUCCACAGCCUCUCUCUCUCUCUCAUUCUCUCUCUCAAGUACUCUCUCUUUCUCUCUAUCUCUCUGUAUCUGUAUAAGGCGUUAGAUUUGUCUCUCUCUCCCUGUUCGGUUCUGAUUGAUAUGAUACUGUUUUGUAACUCGUGAAAACAAAGAUGAAGGUGAUCGCUGUUUAUUUGCUCGCUGUGUUGGGGGGCAAGACCAGAACCGAAGACAUCAAGAGCAUCCUUGGCGCCGUUGGUGCUGAAGCAGAUGAUGACAAGCUUCAGUUUCUUCUCAAGGAAGUUGAGGGUAAAAACAUAACAGAGCUUAUUGCCUCUGGAAAGGAGAAGUUGGCUACUGUAUUUAGAUUAUAGAUAUAUUGCUUAAUUUCUCCAGAUAUAGGAUGUCAUCUCGUUUAAUUUUAAGUUCUUUUAUUAGGAACUGAUAUGUGAUUUAAUCUACAUUUUUUCUUUUUGGCAGGAAGCUGCUCUUGAUUUGGUAGCUGUGAUGUCAGUGGAGAAUUAUGUUUAAAAGUUGACUUCUAUGUAUAUGUAGGGAUAUAUGGUUGCAUAAGGACAAAUUUUAGGAUUAAGGACUGAUGUUGAAUUCAAUUUGGGGCAAAUCUCAGACACAUGAUGUUGUAGAGGCUUUGGUUCAAGACAAAUUUUAAGCUUUGCAAAAUUUGGUUUGAUAUGGGCGAAUAUGGGAGAAUGAGUUAGCAUCAGCUUUGUUUCACAACUGGAAAUUAAAUCACUGAGCAAGAGGAAAAAAUCAAACAAUAGCUUCAUCUGUUCACUGUCAAAGAUAAAUGAAGCUACAGGUAAAGGCUUUUAUUCAUGAAUUUAUAACAUUUCUAUUUGUUUGUACUCUACAACAUAUUAAUCGUAUCAAUAGUGUUGAUCAAUGAUAGUUUGAGGUUUAGGCAAUAGAUUUCAUCCUCAGCAAUGAAUGUUGACAUGAAUUAGUCACUUGAUUUUCUGACCUUCUGUGACAUUUGAAUCGUAAAGGACUCAUGAGUUGCCUUAACAAGAAAUUCUGACCAACCUUUAGCUCAGAAUGUUUUAGCUUUCAUUUCAGUAAUGUUUUUUGUUUAAAUGUUUGAGUUCAAUGAAUAUUGACUCAGAUACGAAAUUCAUUUUUUUCAUUCACUUUUGCCUAUAGCAGAUUCAUGAACAUUAUCUG